GACGAACGCUGGCGGCGUGCUUAACACAUGCAAGUCGAACGGAAAGGCCCUGCUUUUGUGGGUUGCUCGAGUGGCGAACGGGUGAGUAACACGUGAGUAACCUGCCCUUGACUUUGAGAUAACUUCAGGAAACUGGGGCUAAUACCGGAUACGAGCUCCUGCUGCAUGGUGGGGGUUGGAAAGUUUCGGCGGUUGGGGAUGGACUCGCGGCUUAUCAGCUUGUUGGUGGGGUAGUGGCUUACCAAGGCUUUGACGGGUAGCCGGCCUGAGAGGGUGACCGGCCAAAUUGGGACUGAGAUACGGCCGGGACCCCUACGGGAGGCAGCAGUGGGGAAGAGUGCACAAUGGGCGGAAGCCUGAUGCAGCAACGCCGCGUGCGGGAUGACGGCCUUCGGGUUGGAAACCGCUUUCGCCUGUGACGAAGCGUGAGUGACGGUAAUGGGUAAAGAAGCACCGGCUAACUACGUG
Molecule: ribosomal RNA, 468 nt
Filed under: uncultured bacterium
Lineage: Bacteria
Description: partial 16S ribosomal RNA
Rfam family: Bacterial small subunit ribosomal RNA
Source: RNAcentral